Molecule: ribosomal RNA, 855 nt
Filed under: uncultured bacterium
Lineage: Bacteria
Description: bacterial SSU rRNA
Rfam family: Bacterial small subunit ribosomal RNA
Source: RNAcentral
AGCAAGCACCGGCUAACUCCGUGCCAGCAGCCGCGGUAAUACGGAGGGUGCAAGCGUUAUUCGGAAUCACUGGGCGUAAAGGACGCGUAGGCGGGAAGCCAAGUCUGAUGUGAAAUCCUAUGGCUCAACCAUAGAACUGCAUUGGAAACUGGUUACCUAGAGUAUGGGAGGGGGAGAUGGAAUUAGUGGUGUAGGGGUAAAAUCCGUAGAUAUCACUAGGAACACCGAAAGCGAAGGCGAUCUCCUGGAACAAUACUGACGCUAAGGCGUGAAAGCGUGGGGAGCAAACGGGAUUAGAUACCCCGGUAGUCCACGCCCUAAACGAUGAACACUAGUCGUCGGAAUGCUAGUCAUUUCGGUGAUGCACUUAACAGAUUAAGUGUUCCGCCUGGGGAGUACGGUCGCAAGAUUAAAACUCAAAGGAAUAGACGGGGACCCGCACAAGUGGUGGAGCAUGUGGUUUAAUUCGAAGAUACGCGAAGAACCUUACCUAGCCUUGACAUUGAUAUAACACACUAGAGAUAGAGUGGUGCCCUUCGGGGAAAUUGAAAACAGGUGCUGCACGGCUGUCGUCAGCUCGUGUCGUGAGAUGUUGGGUUAAGUCCCGCAACGAGCGCAACCCUCGUCAAUAGUUGCCAGCAGGUUAAGCUGGGCACUCUAUUGAGACUGCCUUCGCAAGGAGGAGGAAGGUGAGGACGACGUCAAGUCAUCAUGGCCCUUAUGGCUAGGGCUACACACGUGCUACAAUGGGGCGUACAGAGAGUUGCGAUACCGCGAGGUGGAGCCAAUCUCAUAAAGCGUCUCUCAGUUCGGAUUGAAGUCUGCAACUCGACUUCAUGAAGCUGGAAUCACUAG